AGGAGAGAAGCGGGAGCUCGCGCCGGUUCUCAAACGCUGCACGCUCGAAAUUCCUCCAAGGAACCUCUGCGAGCUUUUUCUUUUUUCAUCACGCGCGAGCUAAAAAUAGAAACGGGGUUGGAUCGUGAUCCAGAAAUAGAUAGGGGGCAUCUCUCCUAUAAAAGGCUCACCAUUCAAGAGUACAGUGAGCAGUAUGAAGAGGCGAAAAGCCAGAGCGCAUUUUAUGGAGAAACUGGCUUUUUUUUUUUUUUUUGGAGUCCCUUUUUUUGUGGCACUUUUCGUGUUUUUUUUUUUUUUUUUUUUUUUUGAAGGAGGCUCCGCGCUGCUACAAUGGUUCUCUUCAGCAACACACACACACUUCCCUGCUGUCGUGACCAACCCACAGUGAGGUCAGCGGGUGGAGUCCACAGAGCGAGAGUGGAAAAACUGUAGAAGGGAAGUAAACAAUCAUUUAUAAUCAUGUUGAUUAACUGUUUCCAUGUGUCUGCAUUAUGUAUACACCCUGUGUGUCACCCUAACCUUUAACUGAAGAAGUAAUAUCAAUUACACUAAAAGCAGGAGAUUGAGGCAAUCUUUUUUCUGUUUUCUGUUUAGUGACAUGUGACGACGUUGUCAACAAUUACUUUCAGUUGAGAAUCAGAGUCAAAGGAAUUCAGAUUAAUGAUUCAUGUAUGUCUAAAUUUACAAAAAUGAAGCUGAAUGUGUGUCAUUUUAAUUUUAAAGGUGAAUAAACAUGUCUUAUUUUAAACUUAUCUAUUCCUAUAUUUUACAUUAAUCAGUUUUUUUUUUUAUCCGUUACCAUGCUUUCUGUUCUAUGUGUAAAUAAAAACACUUUUUUUAAAAACACAGCUUUUAAUGUGCUGCACCCUGUAGAAAUACAGGCAAACACUCUUUCCUUGUUAUAUUUCUUUUACUUCUUCCUUUACUUUUUCUGAUCUGAAAUCAGCAUCACUGUUGAGUCCUUGUAGACUUAACAUUAGAAGCAGGACAGAGAGGGAGCGGUGUGUGUAUACGUCUAUACGUGUGUGUGUGUGUGUGUGUGUGUGUGUGUGUGUGUGUGUGUGUGUGUGUGUGUGUGUGUGUGUGUAUACGUCAAUACGUGUGUAUACAUUUAUCAGAUUUACAUUAGCAUGCAGUAUGACGUUUCAUCUAUCCAGAUUUUACAGACACGUAUUUGUGGCUAUGUUUUUUAUUACAGAAGGAGUUGAGCUAUUACACACACACACACACACACACACACACACACACACACAUACAGAGACAGAAAUAGCAAUACAUUCUAAAGAAACAACUGUCUGGAACAAGCAUUGUAUAUAAUCAUUUCAAUAAAAUGAUGGGGUAAAAAAGGAGACAUAAAUGUGCAAAUGUCACCAAGCACAUACAAGCCACAUCAUUAUGUUCAACUUCUAAAUCUGUGUUAGGCAGAAAUUAAAUAAGAAACAAUUCAUAAAUGAAUAAACCCCAUGAUCCUGAAGUAUCUAAACAUUUGGCACUACUUAACUAAUGAUCUACAACUACUUCCUCUGAUGGCCCACAGCUCUGAGAAAUUAACUGUGUGGAAAAGAAAAACAAUAAAAAAUACACAUUUACUUUAUUGACGUCUCCUCGUGGGAUCUCCUUUAAAAAUGCAAUAAAGCUCAGCUCACAAUUCACCCCUCAGUAACUGAUUGUUGCCUCAGAUCAACAACAGCUAAUGAAGACAGACAAGACACACAGCAGUUAUAUGUGUGAAGUCAAUGUGCAUCCAUUUUUCAGAAGGAGUGUGUGUGUGUGUGUGUGUGUGUUGCAUUUUGCUUUACACCUUUAUUUCCUCUAUUGCAGAAAGAUUUGUUCUAUCCAAAAAAAAAUGUCAAUACAUUUUGGCUGGAUUUUAUUUUGGAGCUCAUGUGUGUUUUAUGUUCAGUGUCUUGAUGAUUUAGAAGAUACACUUGAUCAUAUACAAAAAAGGAAUUUCUUCUAUAUAUUAAAAAUGUCUUUACAAAUGACUGUUAAGUGCUCUCAUUGUGUUUUUGUUUUAAAAGGUACUGUGAUACUUUAAACUGUCUUUACAGGAAUGUUUCAAUAAAAGCAUUUUGAAAUCUUC
Labrus bergylta (ballan wrasse) is the source of this 2083-nucleotide non-coding RNA. NCBI's taxonomy places the organism in Eukaryota, Metazoa, Chordata, Actinopteri, Labriformes, Labridae. The record is from RefSeq and is a predicted model, not a curated record.